Long non-coding RNA from Contarinia nasturtii (swede midge), 321 nucleotides. RefSeq lists it as uncharacterized. The record is from RefSeq and is a predicted model, not a curated record. The transcript has 2 exons. NCBI's taxonomy places the organism in Eukaryota, Metazoa, Arthropoda, Insecta, Diptera, Cecidomyiidae.
GUAGACACUUUACAUCAACUGUUCUUAGUAAAAGAAUCUCAUUUGUCAUGAAUUUGAUCAAAUUUUCUUUCUUGGUUUUAGUUUUACUUUUGAUUCAAGAUAUAGGUGUUGUAGAUGCCAAAAGUCCAUUAAAAAAGAUUCUCAAGAAAUGGAAAAAAAUAAAAAAGGCCUUCAAGAAGAUAACGGACUAAAAUAUUUGCUUCCGAUAUUAAGAUAGAGAUAUCAUCCAUUUUCAUAAGUUUGCUGUUUUUAUUGAAUUUUUACUAAAAAGUUAACAUAUGCAAAGAAAAACUGAAAUAAAUAAAAGCUAUCCUAUUAAAA